GUGGGGAAUAUUGGGCAAUGGGGGAAACCCUGACCCAGCAACGCCGCGUGAAGGAAGAAGGCUUUCGGGUUGUAAACUUCUUUUACCAGGGAAAAACACAAUGAUGGUACCUGGAGAAAAAGCUACGGCUAACUACGUGCCAGCAGCCGCGGUAAUACGUAGGUGGCAAGCGUUGUCCGGAAUUACUGGGUGUAAAGGGCGUGUAGGCGGAACUACAAGUCAGGGGUGAAAACUAUGGGCUUAACCCAUAGCCUGCCUUUGAAACUGUAGUCCUUGAGUGCUGGAGAGGCAAUUGGAAUUCCUAGUGUAGCGGUGAAAUGCGUAGAUAUUAGGAGGAACACCAGUGGCGAAGGCGAAUUGCUGGACAGUAACUGACGCUGAGGCGCGAAAGCGUGGGGAGCAAACAGGAUUAGAUACCCCAGUAGUCC
RNAcentral lists this ribosomal RNA (428 nucleotides) under uncultured bacterium. RNAcentral's name for it is "partial 16S ribosomal RNA". It matches the Rfam family "Bacterial small subunit ribosomal RNA", at positions 354 to 796 of the family's 1533-position model. The record is from RNAcentral.